Molecule: ribosomal RNA, 258 nt
Filed under: uncultured bacterium
Lineage: Bacteria
Description: partial 16S ribosomal RNA
Rfam family: Bacterial small subunit ribosomal RNA
Source: RNAcentral
CGGCGGACGGGUGAGUAACGCGUGGGCAACCUGCCUUACACAGGGGGAUAACAGUUAGAAAUGACUGCUAAUACCGCAUAAGACCGCGGAACCGCAUGGUUCUGAGGUAAAAACUCCGGUGGUGUAAGACGGGCCCGCGUCUGAUUAGGUAGUUGGUGAGGUAACGGCUCACCAAGCCGACGAUCAGUAGCCGACCUGAGAGGGUGACCGGCCACAUUGGGACUGAGACACGGCCCAGACUCCUACGGAAGGCAGCAG